RNAcentral lists this ribosomal RNA (253 nucleotides) under uncultured bacterium. Its description in RNAcentral is "partial 16S ribosomal RNA". It matches the Rfam family "Bacterial small subunit ribosomal RNA", at positions 524 to 776 of the family's 1533-position model. The record is from RNAcentral.
UACGGGGGGGGCAAGCGUUGUUCGGAAUUACUGGGCGUAAAGGGCUCGUAGGCGGCCAACUAAGUCAGACGUGAAAUCCCUCGGCUUAACCGGGGAACUGCAUCUGAUACUGGAUGGCUUGAAUCCGGGAGAGGGAUGCAGAAUUCCAGGUGUAGCGGUGAAAUGCGUAGAUAUCUGGAGGAGUACCGGUGGCGAAGGCGGCAUCCUGGACCGGCAUUGACGCUGAGGAGCGAAAGCCAGGGGAGCAAACGGG